CAAUAGCGUAUAUUAAAGUUGUUGCAGUUAAAAAGCUCGUAGUUGGAUUUCUGGUGGGAGCGAUCGGUCUGGCGCUUAGCGCGAGUACUUGCAUCGUCUCCGGCCAUCCUUGGGGAGAGUCUGUCUGGCAUUAAGUUGUCGGGCAGAGGAUCCUCAUCGUUUACUGUGAAAAAAUUAGAGUGUUCAAAGCAGGCUUAUGCCGUUGAAUAUAUCAGCAUGGAAUAAUAAGAUAGGACUUUGGUACUAUUUUGUUGGUUUGCGCACCAAAGUAAUGAUUAAUAGGGACAGUUGGGGGUAUUCGUAUUCCGUUGUCAGAGGUGAAAUUCUUGGAUUUACGGAAGACGAACUACUGCGAAAGCAUUUACCAAGGAUGUUUUCAUUAA
RNAcentral lists this ribosomal RNA (383 nucleotides) under uncultured eukaryote. RNAcentral describes it as "partial 18S ribosomal RNA". It matches the Rfam family "Eukaryotic small subunit ribosomal RNA", at positions 592 to 976 of the family's 1831-position model. The record is from RNAcentral.